GUUUAAAAAUACAUACAACCAAAAUCUUAUUUCUACAACCAAUUUCUUUAAGUA
This 54-nucleotide small RNA is filed under the name Arabidopsis thaliana (thale cress). RNAcentral describes it as "ATSL081150". The record is from RNAcentral. Lineage: Eukaryota; Viridiplantae; Streptophyta; Magnoliopsida; Brassicales; Brassicaceae.